This is a non-coding RNA of Anolis sagrei ordinatus, 106 nucleotides long. The record is from RefSeq and is a predicted model, not a curated record. NCBI's taxonomy places the organism in Eukaryota, Metazoa, Chordata, Lepidosauria, Squamata, Anolidae.
AGGCAGCCCCGUUUCCUAGGUGGAGUGGAAGGUAACUUCGGAACAAGUUCUGCGAAGAACGCCUUGUGAGAGCUUGGCCUGAGGAGUGCUGUAAGUUCAAAGUGAC